RNAcentral lists this ribosomal RNA (164 nucleotides) under Thalictrum flavum. Its description in RNAcentral is "5.8S ribosomal RNA". It matches the Rfam family "5.8S ribosomal RNA". From Rfam's summary of the family: 5.8S ribosomal RNA (5.8S rRNA) is a component of the large subunit of the eukaryotic ribosome. It is transcribed by RNA polymerase I as part of the 45S precursor that also contains 18S and 28S rRNA. Lineage: Eukaryota; Viridiplantae; Streptophyta; Magnoliopsida; Ranunculales; Ranunculaceae. The record is from RNAcentral.
UGAACGACUCUCGGCAACGGAURUCUCGGCUCUUGCAUCGAUGAAGAACGUAGCGAAAUGCGAUACUUGGUGUGAAUUGCAGAAUCCCGUGAACCAUCGAGUCUUUGAACGCAAGUUGCGCCCGAGGCCUUCUGGUCGAGGGCACGUCUGCCUGGGCGUCACGC